Molecule: ribosomal RNA, 500 nt
Filed under: uncultured bacterium
Lineage: Bacteria
Description: partial 16S ribosomal RNA
Rfam family: Bacterial small subunit ribosomal RNA
Source: RNAcentral
AUUGAACGCUGGCGGCAUGCCUUACACAUGCAAGUCGAACGGCAGCACGGGAGCAAUCCUGGUGGCGAGUGGCGAACGGGUGAGUAAUAUAUCGGAACGUGCCCAGUCGUGGGGGAUAACGCAGCGAAAGCUGUGCUAAUACCGCAUACGAUCUACGGAUGAAAGCGGGGGAUCGCAAGACCUCGCGCGAUUGGAGCGGCCGAUGUCUGAUUAGCUAGUUGGCGGGGUAAGAGCCCACCAAGGCGACGAUCAGUAGCUGGUCUGAGAGGACGACCGGCCACACUGGGACUGAGACACGGCCCAGACUCCUACGGGAGGCAGCAGUGGGGAAUUUUGGACAAUGGGCGCAAGCCUGAUCCAGCCAUGCCGCGUGCGGGAAGAAGGCCUUCGGGUUGUAAACCGCCUUUGGCAGGAACGAAACGGCGCAAGCCAAUACCUUGCGCUAAUGACGGUACCUGCAGAAUAAGCACCGGCUAACUACGUGCCAGCCGCCGCCGUAA